AGGGCACCACCAGGAGUGGAGCCUGCGGCUUAAUUUGACUCAACACGGGGAAACUCACCCGGCCCGGACACUGGAAGGAUUGACAGAUUGAGAGCUCUUUCUUGAUUCAGUGGGUGGUGGCGCAUGGCCGUUCUUAGUUGGUGGAGUGAUUUGUCUGGUUAAUUCCGAUAACGAACGAGACUCUAGCCUACUAAAUAGACCUCGGCAUUCUUUGUACUGUCGAGGCGCUUCUUAGAGGGACUGGCGGCGUUUCAGCCGCAUGAGAAAGAGCAAUAACAGGUCUGUGAUGCCCUUAGAUGUCCGGGGCCGCACGCGCGCUACACUGAAGAGAUCAGCGUGCAUGUGCUUCCUACUCCGAAAGGAGCGGGAAACCGAGUGAACCUUUUUCGUGCUUGGGAUUGGGGAUUGUAAUUGUGCCCCUUGAACGAGGAAUUCCCAGUAAACACUAGUCAUCAGCUAGUGCUGAUUACGUCCCUGCCCUUCGUACACACCGCCCGUCGCUACUACCGAUUGAAUGGU
RNAcentral lists this ribosomal RNA (519 nucleotides) under uncultured eukaryote. RNAcentral describes it as "SSU rRNA". It matches the Rfam family "Eukaryotic small subunit ribosomal RNA", at positions 1161 to 1697 of the family's 1831-position model. The record is from RNAcentral.